RNAcentral lists this long non-coding RNA (1692 nucleotides) under Capsicum annuum. RNAcentral describes it as "long non-coding RNA (CANN_LNC017361)". The record is from RNAcentral. Lineage: Eukaryota; Viridiplantae; Streptophyta; Magnoliopsida; Solanales; Solanaceae.
AGGUCUGCUUCUUGGUCCCUACACUUGAUUACGACUGCUUUUAAGCUUGGGAAACGAUUGCCUAUGAUCUCUCUCAGUGUUAAGAUGCUGCAGUUAAGAGGAACUUGGGCCUAUCUUAUGUCUUUCGCAAAUACUAAUUCAGAGAUCUCCGCAUAAAUAAUUUAUGUUUAAAUAGAGAUAUAACCAAACACUAUAGUUUAUUGAUUUCGACAAACACCAAUAUAUUAUAUAUUGAGUAUGAAAACAACUGGAAGAAGCUAAUUACCUCUAUUUGCCGCGACGAUAGCUACCAGCUAACCUGACGACUUUAGCAGCCGCUUGAGCAGCUGCAACAGCUGUCUCAGCGGCUGCAGUAGUGGUCGCUGCAACAACAAUGGUAUGGUUAUGAUCCUUAGCCAUAGUAGACGAUAAACCAAUGUUGCUCUCUCCAUUACUAAUAAGAUCCGGAGAACUAACUCCCUGCUAGAAAAUAUUCAAAGUGACAACUUCCGGAGGCUUAGGUUGUCAUUUACUCUCUAAUGUUUCCUUCUAAAAAGCAUUUAGAACAAUUCAACCAACUCAUCACGCCAUUAAUCAUCGCUUAAGAUGAAUAUUUUUAGACAAUCCCCAACUCAAGAAAUUCACUAAUUUGGAAAUAACUAUUAAAUCACUACAAAAUAAUUACUAUGAAAAAAAAGUGUUUGUCCAGUUACAAAUAUUCUCACCAACAUCAAACUAAGUUAAGUUGAUGGGUGAUCCAAACACUACUACACCUUUCAGUUAAUAGCACUCAUAAAUCUUCCUAUCCUACUGGGAUCAGCUCGUACCUUUUUCAUUAUGAUUCAAUUCAUCUUUUAAUCAUACUAAUUCAAAUGCCAACGACACUCAAAAGAACCUCUAGAAAAAAGUUAUAUUCUUAUAAUAAAACCAGAUUUGAGAAAAACAGAAAUGCCACAUACCUUUGGAAUUUCUGCAACAUACUGCCGCGAUUCACCUGCUUAACUGAUAGCUGACAAUAAUGUAAUUAACCAAUAAAAAGAUAAACAAGUUAAAAUUCCACAUUUAAUAGUAGUUUAAAAGGCAAAUCGGCGUAGGAAUUCGUAUGCCUUGAGAAAAUCGAGAGAGUCAGCAGCCAUUGGCCUUUGCUAGGCAAGCCGAGUCGAACUUUGGUUCUAUCGGAAGGUUUCUUAUCCACAUUACUGCUCACAACAGUCAAAGGAGACGCCUCCGAGCAACAUGAGAUGGUGAAUUUAACGGAAACUCUGCGGCAGCUAGUGAUGACUGAUGAAUCAGAAGAAAAGAGAAUCGAUAAAGAGCCUUGAAGGAAAAACGUCUAAAUAGACAACAUGUUUUCACUUUUUCUGGCGAGAAUUAGGGCGGAGACGGAGGUCGAUAGUGGAGAAGAGAUAAAAGCAGCGCCGCCGUAAAGGAGUGAUUGGGUAGGUGGAGAGUGGAGACGGAAGUAAUAGGCGCGUGUGGUGUAGGAAAUCAAUUUGGUCGAUUUUUGGUCUUUUUAUUACUUAAUCUUUUUCUUCAAUUCUAAGAAAGAAAUAUCCCGAAAAAUCCGUCAAUAAAUGACGGACUCUUAGUAAGGAUGAUAAUUAUUUAGGAACAGAUGGAGUAGUUCAUAAGCAACCAAAUUAGAUCAGCUACUCUAUUGCAUAUUGAAUUAACUUCAUAGACAUGUCAAGUGCAUAAAAGAUCCAUUCAUAA